RNAcentral lists this ribosomal RNA (475 nucleotides) under uncultured bacterium. RNAcentral describes it as "bacterial SSU rRNA". It matches the Rfam family "Bacterial small subunit ribosomal RNA", at positions 27 to 518 of the family's 1533-position model. The record is from RNAcentral.
GGACGAACGCUGGCGGCGUGCCUAACACAUGCAAGUCGAACGGAGCUGAGGAGCUUGCUCCUUAGCUUAGUGGCGGACGGGUGAGUAACGCGUGAGUAACCUGCCUCUGAGAGGGGAAUAACGUUCUGAAAAGAACGCUAAUACCGCAUAACGUAUUGAAGCCGCAUGACUUUGAUACCAAAGAUUUUAUCGCUCGGAGAUGGACUCGCGUCCGAUUAGCUUGUUGGUGAGGCAACGGCUCACCAAGGCGACGAUCGGUAGCCGGACUGAGAGGUUGAUCGGCCACAUUGGACUGAGACACGGCCCAGACUCCUACGGGAGGCAGCAGUGGGGGAUAUUGCGCAAUGGGGGCAACCCUGACGCAGCAACGCCGCGUGAAGGAUGAAGGUUUUCGGAUUGUAAACUUCUUUUAUCAGGGACGAAAUUUGACGGUACCUGAUGAAUAAGCUCCGGCUAACUACGUGCCAGCCGCUGC